UUCGUUAACAUACGCUUGCUAAUUUAAUUGUUAAAGGCUACUAAACUUUAAAUUUUUACUUUUUUGUCUUUCUCUUUCCGGGACCUCAAAGGAGCACUGUAGACCCUGGACAAAUUUUAAAUAAUAUAGAAAAUAGUUUCCAAUAUAGCAUGCUGUUUUAAUUUUUAACACUAUAUAUAUAUGAUUCAAUAUGAAAAGCAAUUAGGCCUAUGAGCAUUCAAAUCUUAUUGUUUACAUUUAUCCUAAUUUACUGAUGAUUUAUUUCGUUUAGGUUAAAUGUUACACUGGCUUUAACGAAAGAAUCCCAAUUAGUGAAGAUUUGACAGUGAACACUAGGGGAAUUGUAACUUCCGCCUCAUUGUUUCUAAAGGAAUGUCCGGACUGUUUAAAAGUAGAAAUAAUUGCUGGAUGUGCAGUAGGCGUUUACUUGAUCUUGGCACUUUCAAUUAUCGUCUGGUUGUGCAAAAAGGUUGUCCAGUCUCAGAGUCGCUCACAGAUGAUCCAGAGAAUUCCCACUAUACCAAGUAAAAGCAGCCAUAAACCUCACGCUUCUUCUGAAGGAAAACCAUCCAAUUUUUCUUCUGGUGAAGGUAAAGCUUCUCACGAAGACAGUGGUCACGUGGUAUCUAUUGGCGCAGAACCUCUGAGUCCUCUCGGCGAGUCACGAGAAGACCUCGUAGAAGCCGGGGAAUUCCCGCCAAAUUAUUUCGUCUUUGAGUUUCCGCUGCAGCUACAAAAGGAUCCCUGCAAAUUGCCGGUGACCAACAUCUGACAUAUGAUUUUUGUUUGCUACUUGUAGUUCUUUUUUUUUUAUAUCUAAACGGCCUUCAACCAUAAAAUUCAAACGUCUUAAUAUCAAUACAUUGCGUAAUUAAACCGAAGUCUAUAGAAGAACGCCGCAAAAUAGUACAUAAUAAUGUGAUCUUUUUGUUUUACUUCAUAUGACUACAAAUAAUAUAUUUUUUCGCGUUGCUCUUAAGACAUAGUGACUUAACUGAAACAUAAGUGUUUGUUUUUCCUCAAACUGGAAAUUUUAACAAAUGUGUAUAUGCAACAAAAAUAGAGUAUUUUUAUAUAAAAUUUUGAUUUAUUAUGUGAUUUUGCUAGCAUGUUAUUAACGACAACAACAGUGAAAAAUCAGAUGCGCAUGUUGUCAGAGUGUAUUUAAGUUGUAAAUACUGCAGUGUUCUUUAUCUUGUAAAUAAAGAAAACUAUUUAUUAAUGUAACAUAAGAUAAUUAUGUGUCAUUAGAUAUAUCUAUAUACAUAUGAAUAAAGAAUCAGAAAUAUCAAUGAUGUACGUCCUUUUCAAUCGUUCAACUCCUUGUAACUCCACUGAUACAUACCCUGCUUUAAAUGUAUAAAACUUUCCUGAAUAUGGGUCUCGGCAAAGAUGGCUUAUCUGAUAACUUAACUCUGACUUGUAUAUCAUUCAGCUAUUUUGAUCUCAUUCAUAUUAUCAGACAAAAUACUUAUGCGAAUUCAUCUCAAAUUACAGAACAAACACGAAAGAAAAGUUGUUGAUUAUUUCUUAGUGCAAAACUACCCAAUGGGCUAUCUGUAUUGUGUCCGUCGUGGGGAAUCGAACCGCGGAUUUUAGCAUCGUAAGUCUGUAAACUUACUGCUGACCCAUCGUGGGACACGAAGUGAAAUAUAAUGAGAAUUUGUAAAAUCAUGGCGAUGAUGUAAUGUCAAUUAUCCACCUCAGUUUGUUGUUAUACAAGUCAGACAUCUGUUGAUCAAGUGUGUGACCUUUAACUGUAAAUGACUGAUCAUUCAGCCUGUGCUACCAUAUACAGGAUGAAGCAAAAGUCAGUAUACAGUUAUACAUAGUUAAAUAAUUUUACUCUUGUAGAAAGGAUUCGGUUUUAUCUUUGUCUUGUUUGUUGUGAUGGUGACUUUUGCCUGUACAUGUAGUAGUCUCAAUUGUCACUUGAAAUGAAUAACAGAGUUUAAAGUGCUCUACAUUUUUAAAAACUGUGGUUCAAAUGAAUAACAGAGUUUAAAUUGCUCUACAUUUUUAAAAACUGUGGUUCAAAUGAAUAACGGUUUAAAGUGCUCUACAUUUUUAAAAACUGUGGUUCAAAUGAAUAACAGAGUUUAAAGUACUCUACAUUUAAAAAAUGGUUGAAAUGAAUAACAGAGUUUAAAGUGCUCUACAUUUUUAAAAACUGUGGUUCAAAUGAAUAACGGUUUAAAGUGCUCUACAUUUUUAUCAGCUAUGGUUAUCCUUCAAAAAAAAACAUUUGGAUACUUCGUUAAUGUCGAUACCAAUCGAAGCUAGUCAAUCACAAUAGGCUUUAAAUAAACGUCCAGACUUUUGAGUGUGGCCAUCAUCAGGAAACUAUGUAUUGUGUAAAAUAUUGCGCGAG
Molecule: long non-coding RNA, 2371 nt
Organism: Limulus polyphemus (Atlantic horseshoe crab)
Lineage: Eukaryota; Metazoa; Arthropoda; Merostomata; Xiphosura; Limulidae
Exons: 3
Source: RefSeq, a predicted model, not a curated record